GACGAACGCUGGCGGCGUGCCUAAUACAUGCAAGUUGAGCGCUGAAGGUUGGUACUUGUCCCGACUGGAUGAGCAGCGAACGGGUGAGUAACGCGUGGGGAAUCUGCCUUUGAGCGGGGGACAACAUUUGGAAACGAAUGCUAAUACCGCAUAAAAACUUUAAACACAAGUUUUAAGUUUGAAAGAUGCAAUUGCAUCACUCAAAGAUGAUCCCGCGUUGUAUUAGCUAGUUGGUGAGGUAAAGGCUCACCAAGGCGAUGAUACAUAGCCGACCUGAGAGGGUGAUCGGCCACAUUGGGACUGAGACACGGCCCAAACUCCUACGGGAGGCAGCAGUAGGGAAUCUUCGGCAAUGGACGAAAGUCUGACCGAGCAACGCCGCGUGAGUGAAGAAGGGUUUCGGAUCGUAAAACUCUGUUGGUAGAGAAGAACGUUGGUGGGAGUGGAAAGCUCAUCAAGUGACGGUAACUACCCAGAAAGGGACGGCUAACUACGUG
Molecule: ribosomal RNA, 497 nt
Filed under: uncultured bacterium
Lineage: Bacteria
Description: partial 16S ribosomal RNA
Rfam family: Bacterial small subunit ribosomal RNA
Source: RNAcentral